CAUAUCAAAUGUGUUUGAUCUUGUUUUUUUAACUGUCAAUCAAAUGAUGUGCAUCUGUGUCAUUCCACUUCUGCUGUCAUACUUGGUGAUGUGAUUCUACUUGGUGAUGUGGGGAGAUCCUGAAGUCCUAGCGAUGGGGGCGUGUGCCAGGAAAGGGAUGGAUAGAACGGAGCCAGGCAACAUCCGCUAUCUACUUCCUCUGCCUACCCCUGGGAGGUUCUGGCUGAGAAUCGCAGUAGCCUUCCUCCAUGGGGCUGGUCAGGAGAAAGAGAAGAAGGGAAUGAGGCAGCUACAGGGGGAGUAUUGGCCAGAAGACCCUCUGCUUCAUUCCUCCAGUGCCCGGCUGUGGCUUUCACGGGUCCUGCUGCAGACAGGAGUCCAGCCAAGAGGUGGCUGCUUCUCCCUAACUUGUUUCAGCCUCAGAAUGGUGAUGGCAAGCCCCUCUGAACAACCCUUGCCAAGAAACACCCUGUGAAACCCUCCACCCUUCUUGAAGCCAUGCAAAUGCAACGGUGCACAUAUACUGUCAAAGUUUUUUUUAAAAACACAAGCCGCACCAUGUUCCCAAUAGAACCCCCUACCCAACUUUGGCGAUGUCUGGACAUCAUGCAUUGGUGCAGAUAAAGAAGACCAAUUCACUGGCAGAAGAGGAAAACGAUUGCGUGGUGGUUUAAAGGGACCACUUGACAGUGCGGGAAAUUUAAAUCCUCUAGAUUUAAAGAGCCAAUAUCUUCACCCACUAACCAUGAGCGCAAUGAGGGGGGAAACAGUGGUGGUUUCCCACCAAGCCAAGACUGAUGGGAUGGUCUUGGCAGGUUCCAACCCCUCCUCUCAUUACCCCUCCCUUCUGGGUUCCCCAAAUGGGAUGGGAAGCACGUUCCCAUUGGCAGCUUCCUAAAAAGCCCAGUGCUUUUGAAAAGAUGCUGAAAAUUCCUCAGUAUCAAAAGCACUGGGUUAAGGGGGAUUUGCACAUACACACACAAGAAAUUCGGGUCCGGAAAACCUGGUACAAGUAUGAACAGCCCCCUUUUAAACUGGUUUGCAAACUGGUUUAUGCCAUAGUGUGAAUGGCCACAGGAUAAAUAUAAGCAGAAUUUAAUUUUUUUUGGUUAAAACAUGAAUGAAUAAAAAGUUUUUUAAAAAAGUUUAAACAAAAAAAGCCCUGAAGGUUUUUCCCCAACCCUGGUAAGAAUGCAUUGAGCAUGGUAGGCUUCUUUUUACAUUGAGAAUGGUAGGUUUCUGUUUCUAGUUUGAAAUUAUUUCCUGUAGUUUGAUCUCCUCGGGGAUCAAAUAUGUGAAGCUGAAAUAUGACAAAUAUCUGGUGCCUAAUCAUAGGCAUAGUGGAAAUCAAUUUUAAUUGUUUGUAGUUCUGCAUAGGGUUCAAGGCCUUCAGAAUGGCACAGGAUUCGUUGACUGCUCUUGAUUACUGUGUAACAUAAGAACCUUGGCAAGCAGAAAGAUGGCAUAAGAAUAUAACAGAAGUAGUAAAGCUACCUGAACCUCAAGAUCAGCACUAGUGUUAAGUUUGUGGAAUCUCUGCAUCAUCAUCCCAGUGAACUUCCACAUCCAGCAUGAUAGAUGUUCCACCAUCCUUCUCCCUUACUUUUCCAUGGAUGCAACAGCAGCCUUCCCGCCCCCCCCCCCCCUUGAUAAAAACCUCUAGCUGUCUGCUACAUUUUAAAAUAAUUUAAUUUCCUAGUGCCUCUGUGAGCCUGAUGUAGCAUCUUUUUGAACCAGUGCUUUGUAGGGGCCAAACAAAUUCUGAAUGCUAGCUGCAGCCACCCAGACUGGGCAAAGUAAUGCUGAGAAGACUACUUAGCAAGGCUGACUGGAGACUACAUUUGAAAUUGCUGGUAGCCUGAGGCUCAAGCUGUCAGUGGUUACAUAACCAAGCUGAUUAUUAAUGCUAUUCCUGCUUGAGAUGACCUCAGGGUCUUCUCUGCAGGCUGCUUUCAUGCUAGGACUUCUUUGGAAAGCCCUCUGCAGUAAAGUUCAUGCAGUAGCUACUUUGUGGUCUUUUUCAAUUUGUUGUUCUUGUGUGCCUUCCAGUAAUUUCCAACUGGCAGCAGCCCUAAGGUGACCCUAUCACAAGGUUUUCUUAGCAGCAUUUGUUCAGUGGAGGUUCCUCUGAGGUCUUUGCCUUCCUCUGAGGCUAAGAUAAUGUGACUUGCCCAAGGUGGGUUUUCAUGGCUGAGUGGUGAUUUGAAUCUCUGUCUCCAAAGUCACAGUCCAAUACUCAAAUAUCGACACCAUGCAGGCUCCUUUUUCAGUGCUUGGUUUUUAAUUAAAACUAAGACUGUUAAGCAAAAUAACUAAAAAAUUGUUAGUGUUGCUUGAGAAAUUUUCGUGUAGAUUAUUCACUGUUUUACAUUGCGUUCUGUUUUUUAUGGUUUAUAAUUUAUAUAUGUUUUAAAUGAUUUAUUAAAAUGUUAUUAUUUAUAAUCAUA
Molecule: long non-coding RNA, 2447 nt
Organism: Sceloporus undulatus (fence lizard)
Lineage: Eukaryota; Metazoa; Chordata; Lepidosauria; Squamata; Phrynosomatidae
Exons: 2
Source: RefSeq, a predicted model, not a curated record